Molecule: long non-coding RNA, 362 nt
Filed under: Zonotrichia albicollis (white-throated sparrow)
Lineage: Eukaryota; Metazoa; Chordata; Aves; Passeriformes; Passerellidae
Description: lncRNA (ENSZALG00000001777.1)
Source: RNAcentral
AAGGUUAAAGGUCAGGCAGGGGUCACCCAGACAGGAGUCUCCAGGUGUGGCCCCGCCCCCAUCCAGGUGUGUCCCAGGUGUGUCCCCAAUGCCCCAGGUGUGUUUGGGUGUGUCCCAGGUGUGUCACACUCACCUUGCAGGUGUCCCCGCCCCCACCCAGGUGUGUCCCCAAUGUCCCCAGGUGUCACCCAGGUGUGUUCAGGUGUGUCCCCGAUGUCCCCAGGUGUGCACAGGUGUCACUUAGGUAUCUCAGGUGUGUCCCAGGUGUGUCCCCAAUGUCCCCAGGUGUGCACAGGUGUGUCCCCAAUGUCCCCAGGUGUGUUUGGGUGUGUCUCAGGUGUGUUUGGGUGUGUCCCACACUC